This 459-nucleotide ribosomal RNA is filed under the name Clostridioides difficile. RNAcentral describes it as "bacterial LSU rRNA". It matches the Rfam family "Bacterial large subunit ribosomal RNA", at positions 1847 to 2304 of the family's 2925-position model. Lineage: Bacteria; Bacillati; Bacillota; Clostridia; Peptostreptococcales; Peptostreptococcaceae. The record is from RNAcentral.
ACGGGCUGACGCCUGCCCGGUGCUGGACGGUUAAGGGGAUCUGUUAGAUCAAUCGAAGCAGUGAACUUAAGCCCAAGUAAACGCCGGCCGUAACGAGACCGGGCGUAAAGUAGGGAAAGACCUUGUCGGGCAAGAUCCGACGCGCACGAAAGGCGUAACGAUUUGGGCACGGUCUCAACAACAGACACGGUGAAAGUGUAAUUCCGGUGAAGAUGCCGGAGACCUGCGACAGGACGGAAAGACCCCAGGGAGCUUUACUGUAGCUUGACAUUGGGUCUUGGUACUACAUGUCCAGGAUAGGUGGGAGGCUUUGAAACCAGUACGCCAGUUUUGGCGUAGCCAUCCUUGGGAUACCACCCUGGUAGUACUGGGACUAGAACCAUCGGCCAUGAAUCUGGUCGUGGGACACUGUCAGGUGGGCAGUUGGACUGGGGCUGUCGCCUCCCAAAAGGUAACGGA